Molecule: unclassified non-coding RNA, 336 nt
Filed under: soil metagenome
Description: partial contains 5.8S ribosomal RNA, internal transcribed spacer 2, and large subunit ribosomal RNA
Rfam family: 5.8S ribosomal RNA (bases 1-120)
Source: RNAcentral
GAUGAAGAACGCAGCAAAAUGCGAUAAGUAAUGUGAAUUGCAGAAUUCAGUGAAUCAUCGAAUCUUUGAACGCACAUUGCGCCCGCCAGUAUUCUGGCGGGCAUGCCUGUUCGAGCGUCAUUUCAACCAUCAAGCCCCCGGCUUGUGUUGGGGACCUGCGGCUGCCGCAGGCCCUGAAAACCAGUGGCGGGCUCGCUGUCACACCGAGCGUAGUAGAUUUUCAUCUCGCUCAGGGCGUGCUGCGGGUUCCGGCCGUAAAAAGCCUUAUUUACCCAAGGUUGACCUCGGAUCAGGUAGGAAGACCCGCUGAACUUAAGCAUAUCAAUAAGCGGAGUA